GAGCCGGCCAAUGCUAAUGAGCGGAGCAGCCCGGAGGAACUUCAUUCCCCGUCUCCGUGUCAGGAUCGCAGAAAUUAUGCCCCUUCUGUCACCAUGAACUGGCUCUCCAGUUCCCAGGGAGUUGUCCUCACUGCCUACCACCCCAGCGGCAAGGACCAGGCCGUGGGGGGGGACCAUGGCAAGGGAGGGGAGGAAGCCACCGCAAGCCGCAAAUAUGGUCAGUACACCAUGAACCAGGAAAUCACCAAAGUUCGCGAAAAACCGCCAUUUGACCGAUCAAGCUCUCAGGAUUCUUUGGAUGAACUAUCUAUGGAGCCCUAUUGGAUGGAAAUAGAAAAUAUCGAGAAAUCAAGUGAAAACAGACAAGAUCAAGAAGUGGUCGUUGUCAAAGAACCUGAUGAGGGAGAACUGGAAGAAGAGUGGCUUAAGGAAGCUGGUUUGUCCGAUCUCUUCGGAGAGUCUGCUGGGGAUUCCCAAGAAAGCAUGGUGUUUUUGUCAACACUGACUCGGACCCAGGCCGCUGCUGUUCAGAAACGAGUAGAGACAGUCUCCCAGACCUUGAGGAAAAAAAACAAACAGUACCAGAUUCCUGACGUCAGAGACAUAUUUGCUCAACAGAGAGAGUCAAAAGAAAAAGUUCCAGAUGGCAUCGACACACAGUCAGUCAGAACAAAUGAAAAUAAAUAUCAAGGAAAAGAUGACCAGGCAUCUAGCCUAGUUGUGGGUAAAAAAGAGCUGAUACCCCUGGUUGCUGAAGAGGCACCUGCCUCUGAAACCGAUAUCAACCUGGAUGUAUCGUUUGCAGAGCAAGCCGUCAAUCAGAAAGAGAGCUCCAAGGAGAAGGCCCAGAAGAGCAAAGACUGUGAUGCUCCGUUAUCUAAUUUCAGAUGUCCAAAAGACAAAACAGGCAUCACCCGGAUUGGUGACCUAGCACCCCAGGACAUGAAGAAAGUUUGCCGUUUAGCCCUCAUUGAGCUGACUGCCCUCUAUGAUGUAUUGGGUAUUGAACUGAAGCAACAAAAAGCUGUGAAAAUCAAAACAAAAGAUUCCGGCCUUUUUUGUAUUCCAUUGACAGUGUUGUUAGAACAAGAUCAGAGGAAAGUACCAGGAACUCGAAUACCCUUGAUAUUUCAAAAACUGAUUUCCCGAAUUGAAGAGGGAGGUUUGGAAACUGAAGGCCUCUUGAGAAUACCUGGAGCCGCUGGUAGAAUCAAGAAUCUUUGCCAAGAACUGGAAGCAAAGUUUUAUGAAGGGACUUUUAAUUGGGAAAGUGUCAAACAGCAUGAUGCCGCCAGCCUGCUGAAGCUCUUCAUCCGGGAGCUGCCCCAACCGCUGCUCAGUGUAGAAUAUCUCAAAGCCUUUCAGGCCGUCCAGAAUCUUCCAACCAGGAAGCAACAACUACAGGCUUUGAACCUUCUUGUCAUCCUCCUGCCUGAUGCAAACAGAGACACACUUAAGGCCCUGCUUGAAUUUCUCCAAAGAGUAAUAGACAAUAGAGAGAAAAAUAAGAUGACAACCAUGAAUGUAGCCAUGGUCAUGGCCCCGAAUCUCUUCAUGUGUCACACACUGGGUUUGAAGUCCAACGAGCAGCGAGAAUUCGUCAUGGCAGCUGGGACAGCUAAUAUCAUGCACUUAUUGAUUAAGUGUCAACAAGUCCUGUGGACAAUUCCCAAGUUUAUUGUCAACCAAGUGAGGAAGCAAAACAGUGAAAAUCAUAGAAAAGACAAAAAAGCCAUGAAGAAAUUGCUGAAGAAAAUGGCUUAUGACCGAGAGAAAUAUGAAAAGCAAGAUAAGAAUACAAGCGAUGUAGAUCUUAGAAAAAGGGCAUUCCAUUCUGAGGAAAUCAUGAGGAAGCCCAGAAAAAGGAAUAGCAAGUGAUGUGUUGUGGCCAUGGGUAGGGAACAAGAGAGAGAGAGAGAAGGAAAAGGAUUAAAUGCACUCAGCCCAGCCUGAGUUUAUGGGGCAUCAAAAAGAAAGAAUGUCAGAGGAUUCCAUCUGGAGAGAGGAGACUGGAGCAGCAACAUGAUGGGAAACAGAUGCAGGUGAAAGAGCUGGGGUAGAACCCGAUGGUUAUCUGUCCUUGAUCACACGUCCUUAUGAGAUUUUUAUUUAUUUGUUGGAGAGAGAAAGUGCAUGCAGGGGAGGCAGCAGAGGGAGAGGGAGAAGCAGACUCCCCGCUGAGCAGGGAUCCCAAUACGGGGCUUGAUAUCAGGACCCCAGGAUCAUGAUCUGAGCUGAAGACAGAUACUUAAUUGACUGAGCCACCCAGGUGCCCCUAACAUUUCUUUUUUUAUAAAAGUAUAGUUAAGACAUAACGUUACAUUAGUUUCAGGUGCACAACAUAGUGAAUGGACAACUCUGUGUUACGCUCACCACAACUGUAGCUACCAUCAUCUGUCACCAUACAAUGCUCUUACAAUACCAUUGACUAUAUUCUCUCUGCUGUGCCUUUUAUCCCUAUGACUUAGUCAUUCCAUAACUGGAAACCUGCAUCUCCCACUCUCUUCCCACCCCUCCAACCCCUGACAACCAGUAAUUUGUUCUCUGUAUUUGGAUCUGUUUCUGCUUUGUAUUUAUUUCAGUUAACAUAAUACCCUUUAGGUCCACCCAUAUUGUCACAGAUGGCAAGAUCUCAUUCUUUUUAAUGGCUGAGUAAUAUCCCAUUGUAUAUAUAUAUAUGCCGUAACUUCUUUAUCCAUUCUUCUAUCAAUGGCCGCUUGGGCUGUUUCGGUAUCUUGGUUAUUAUAAAAAUGUUGCAGUGAACAUAGAAGUACAUAUAUCUUUUCUAAUUAGUUCUUUCUUUUUUCUUUGGGUAAAUACGCAGUAGUGGAAUUACUGGAUCAUGUGAUAGUUCUAUUUUUAAUUUCUUUUUUUUUUUUUAAGAUUUUUAUUUAUUUAUUUGAUGGACAGAGAUCACAAGUAGGCAGAGAGGCAGGCAGAGAGAGGAGGAAGCAGGCUCUCUGCUCAGCAGGGACCUUGAUCCCAGGACCCUGAGAUCAUGACCUGAGCCGAAGGCAGAGGCUUUAACCCACUGAGCCACCCAGGCGCCCCUAUUUUUAAUUUCUUAAGGAACCUCCAUACUAAUUUCCAUAGUGGCUGUACAAAUUUACAUUCUCACCAAUAGUGCACAAGGGUUCCUUUUUCUCCACAUUCUCACCAAUAUUUGUUACUUCUUGUCUUUUUGAUUAUAGCUAUUCUGAUGGGUAUAAUGUGGUAUCUCACUAUGAUUUUAAUUUGUAUUUCCCUGGUGAUUAGUGGUGCUGAGAAUGUUCCCAUUUGUCUGUUGGCCAUUUGUAUGGUUCUUUUGGAAGAGUGUCUAUUCAGGUCCUCUGACCAUUUUUUAAUUGGGUUAUUUGGGUUUUUAUUUGGUGUCAAGUUGUAGAAGUUCUUAAUAUAUCUAAGAUAGUAACCCUUUGCUGAUAUGUCAUUUGCAAAUAUUUUCUCUGAUUCAGUAGGUUGACUUUUUUUUUCCUUGAUGUGCAAAAGCUUUUAUUUUGGUGUAGUCCCAGUAGUUUUUUCUUUUAUUUCCCUUGCCUGAGGAAACAACUAGAAAAUUGUUCCUGGUGUCAAAGAAAUUACUGCCUAUGUUUUCUUCUAGGAGUUUUAUGAUCUCAGGACUUACUUUUAUUUUUGUAUUGUGUAAGCUGUCCAGUUUCAUUCUUUUCCAUGUAGCCAUCCAGUUUUCCCAGCACCACUUAUUAAGAAAUUAUCUUAUCCCCAUUGUAUAUUCUUACCUUCUUUGUCAUAGAUUAAUUGACCAUGUAAGAGUGGGUUUAUUUCUGGGUUUUCUGUUGUAUUCCAUUGAUCUAUUUUUGUGUUGGUACCACGCUGUUUUGAAUACUAUAGCUUUAUAGUGUAUCUUGAAAUCUGAGAGCUUCCAGCUUUGUUCUUUCUCAAGAUAACUUUGGCUAUUUGGGCUUUUUUUGUGAUUCCAUACAGUAAAUUUUAGGACUGUUUGUUCUAUUUCUAUGAAAAAUGCUAUUGAUAACUUCAUAGGGAUUGCUUUAAAUCUAUAAUUUGCUUUGGCUAGAACAGACAUUUUAACAAUAUUACUUCUUCCAAUCCAUGAGCAUGGGAACAAUUUAUUCUCAGUUGAAAGGUUGAUUUAAACAAAUAGUUCUUUGUCUUUUUAUUUUAUAGGUGUCUAUUCUCCAUAGUCUUCUAAGGAAAAGGGAUUUUGACAAUGUUUAAUUUAAAGAGGCUCCUUUGAUUUUAAUAUCUGGAUCCUGAUAUCUCUGGUUCCUGUUGUGAUUUUGUUCAGAUAUUUAUUCAAGAGCUUUGUUCUCCUAUGACUCUUCUUUAUCAUUACUGUACCUUUUCAGAGAUGAGCUUCUGGACACACUUGAACCCAUUGGUACCUAGUAGAGUCAGAACAAUCACAUUUGUGAAGCUAUUUAUUAUCUUAUACUUUUAAAUAUAAUAUUCUGGCAUGGUUUAGGAAUUCAGUGUAAUUAUAUACAUUACAUUGGUUUAAACCAAUAUUAUUUAGAUUAUUACAUAAUUUUUUUAAAGAUUUUAUUUAUUUAUUUAACAGAAAGAGAUCACAAGUAGGCAGAGAGGCAGGCAGAGAGAGGAGGAAGCAGGCUCCCUGCUGAGCAGAGAGCCCGAUGUGGGCCUUGAUCCCAGCACCCUGGGAUCAUGACCUGAGCCGAAGGCAGAGGCUUUAACCCACUGAGCCACCCAGGCACCCCAGAUUAUUACAUAAUUUUUAAUAAAUUUGUUAUUUUAAUCUCCUUGAAACAAAUUCCGUAUUAAUCCCCUUUCUUUUAUCCUCACAUUAUUUUUUUUAAAGAUUUUAUUUAUUUAUUUUACAGAGAGAGAUCACAAGUAGCAGAGAGGCAGGCAGAGAGAGAGAGAGAGAGAGGGAAGCAGGCUCCCUGCUGAGCAGAAAGCUUGAUGCAGGACUCGAUCCCAGGACCCUGAGAUCAUGACCUGAGCCAAAGGCAGCAGCUUAACCCACUGAGCCACCCAGGUGCCCCUUAUCCUCACAUUAUUGUUUCUGAUAAUACCUACUUUAAGUUUUCAGUUAUUCAGUAGAUUUACUACCCAUUAUGAGAUGCUGGGCACCUUGAUGUUGUGACUGUAAUGAAAUUAAUUUGUGCAAAUUUUCCUCAUCAGAUUCUUAAUUUAUGUUAUCUGAUAAAAAAUUAUAUAUGGUAUAUCAUAAUUAUCUCUAAUAAAUUAGAAACCAAUUUGUAAGAAAAAAUAAAUUGUUAAAUUUUGUCUAAUUCACUAUUUACUUACCAGCACUAAAUUAUGUGCAGUAAUAAUAUUUUUCAACUUUUAAGAAGUGACUGCAUGUAGUAGUUGAAAACUUUUUUUAAUUGUAAUUGAGAAAUAAAUAAUGAAAAUGUUAAAAUGAACCAAUUGAUGUUUUAUACUACAAAAAUAUAAAAAUCGCAAACAUUAGAGCAUAUGGCUUUGAUCCAUUUAUGAUGCCAUAACACUGCUGAAAUUUUAAUCAAAAUAUUAAUAUAGAGCUUGAAGUCCGGAAUUGUGAUGCCACCAAUGUUGGCUUUCUUUUUCAAUAUCCCUUUGGGUAUUCGACCCAGCAAUUGCACUAUUGGGUGUUUACCCUAAAGAUACAAACGUAGUGAUCCAAAGGGGCACAUGCACCCGAAUGUUUAUAGCAGCAAUGUCCACAAUAGCCAAACUAUGGAAAGAACCUAGAUGUCCAUCAACAGAUGAAUGGAUCAAGAAGAUGUGGUAUAUAUACACAAUGGAAUACUAUGCAGCCAUCAAAAGAAAUGAAAUCUUGCCAUUUGCGACAACAUGGAUGGAACUAGAGCGUAUCAUGCUUAGUGAAAUAAGUCAAGCAGAGAAAGACAACUAUCAUAUGAUCUCCCUGAUAUGAGGAAGUGGUGAUGCAACAUGGGGGCUUAAGUGGGUAGGAGAAGAAUAAAUGAAACAAGAUGGGAUUGGGAGGGAGACAAAUCAUAAGUGACUCUUAAUCUCACAAAACAAACUGAGGGUUGCUGGGGGGAGGGGGUUUGGGAGAAGGGGGGUGGGAUUAUGGACAUUGGGGAGGGUAUGUGCUUUGGUGAGUGCUGUGAAGUGUGUAAACCUGGUGAUUCACAGACCUGUACCCCUGGGGAUAAAAAUAUAUGUUUAUAAAAAAUAAAAAAUUAAAAAAUAUAUUAAUAUGAAUUCUGUAUAUUACAAUCCAACAAAAGGAAUUUACCAAUAAAUUUACUUUUACUAUAUAUUUAAAGUGGGCAUUGCCUUCAAAAUGAGAAAAGUCUCAGUCCUUCUCUUUUCUCUCCUUCUCUUCUUCCAUCUCCAUCUGUUUAAUAUAGAAAGGCUGGCUGGGUUUAUUUGAUACCUCUUAGAAGACUCAUGACCAUCAUUUAUUUAAUUAAAUAAAUCCUGACAGUUUUAACCCUGAAAAUACUCUAUAGAGUUUUUAAUGCAAAAUACAUCUCGAUGAAAUACUGUCACCUGAAAUUUGUAGCAUCGUUUGGUCAGUUUUGAUUUGGGGCUCAUACUUGAUAUUAUGUGUUUUUCUUAUUCAUCCUGUUUUGUAUAUGUGGCAUGUCUUACUCCGUCUACAGUCAGCAGUAUUUAAUGUUGAUAUUUCAGUUUUUUGUUUUUUGUUUUUUUUUUAUAAAUUUUAUUUAUUUAUUUGACAGAGAGAGAUCACAAGCAGGCAGAGAGGCAGGCAGAGAAAGAGGAGGAAGCAGGCUCCCUGCCAAGCAGAGAGCCUGACCUGGGGCUCGAUCCCAGGACCCUGGUAUCAUGACCUGAGCUGAAAGCAGAGGUCUUAACCCUCUGAGCCACCCAGGUGCCCUGAUAUUUUGUUUUUUUUUUAAAAAAGUUUUAUUUAUUUGGGGGGUACCUGGGUGAUUCAGUCGGUCAAGCAUCUGCUUACAGCUCAGGUCAUGAUCCUGUGGUCCUGGGAUUGAGUUCCACAUUGGGCUCUCUGCUUAGCACAGAGUCUGCUUCUCCCUUUCCUGUUCCCCCUGCUUGUUAGCAUGAGAGUGGUGAACGGGCAGAGGCAGAGGGAGAGGGAGAGAAUCUCAAGCAGAUGCCCCACUGAGCAAAGAACCCAACAUAGGUCUCGAUCCCAGGACCCUGAGAUCAUGACAUGAGCUGAAAUCUAGAUUUGGGCACUCAACCAACUGAGGCACCCAGGCCUCCCUGAUAUUUUAGUUUUAGAGCUGAUUUGCCCAUUUCUCUAAAGUGCCUAUUAGAGUACCUUUGAUGAAUUCUGGGGUUGGUGCAUAGCUUAAGUCAGUUAAUUCAAAACAUACUCUUCAAAUUCAGUCAGUCUAUUCCAAUACUUCUUUUGUGAUUUUUACCGGUCAGUUUGAUUUCUAUUAUAGGUAAGAUAACAGGCUUUAUUAGAAAAUAUUGUAUAAUUGUCUAAAGGGAUUUUAAUGUACUGAUCUAAUUUAAGUGUUUGAUUUAUCUUAUGUAGUUCAAAAGUAACAAAAUGAUUAAAAGAUUAUAUGCAUGUUUUUAUGAUUAGGUGUUAUAUACAAGAGUUUGAGAAUCAAAAGUUUAGGCCAUACUUCUAGAAAAGAAUUUUAUUUUUUUUUAAGAUUUUAUUUAUUUAUUUGACAGAGAGAGAUCACAAGGAGGUAGAGAGGCAGGCAGAGUGAGAGGGAGGAAGCAGGCUUGCUGCUGAGCAGAGAGCCUCUAUAAAGGAAUUUUAAAGUCAAUAGUGUAUCUGGCCACAAAGAAUCUGUUCCUGGCUCCAACAUUAUUAAAUAGGUAAGACUGGAUGUGUGUGUGUGUGUGUGUGUGUGUGUGUGUGUGUGUGUGUAAAAAUCAGAGGCUGAACUAGCAGGAGAGAGAAAUUAUCAAUAAAAAGUGAAAUAAGAAGAUGUUAACUGUUUUUUUCUUUUAAUUUUAUUUAUUUAUUUGACAGAGAGAGAGAGAGAGAGAGAGAGCGAGCGGGAGCGCCAGACAGCCAAAGAGCCAGAGAGCCAGAGGAAAUGCAAGGGGAGAAGCAGAAGCAGGGAGCCUGAGGUAGGGCUCGAUCCCUGGACCCUGAGAUCAGAGCUGCAGGCAGAUGCUUAACCAACUGAGCCAUGAAGAAGAUGGUGAGAAUGGAAAAUGAUGUGACACUUGAGAUAUAAUAGCCAUAUCCUACUGGAGUCUGAAAUGGUUGAAACAUGGAAUCCUCACUCUUCUUUUCCUGGCAUUUGUUCUCCCACUGAAAGUGUGACAGGCUAACUAGUCCCGCAGAAGAAUGAUGGGGUGUUACUGUGAGCCAUGCAACGUGCUGGGUGCUUUGUAUCAUUUAUUCCCUCAGAAUAAUCCUUGCAGGUAGAGAGCAUCCUCCUUACUUUUCAAUGGGUCAUCUUACAUUUAGAGAGGACAGGUAACCUGUCAGAGUCCACUGCGUAAAAGUAGGUGGGCUAGGGUAGGGCAGGCUGGCAGGCGCAGUUCUCAGAUCACUGGAGUAAAGGCUCAGUAUGCGUCCUUAGUGGUCCCCAACUUGGAGGGGUUGAGGGGGGCCAUUCGCCACAUCGCACUUGCUCAGAGGGGAAAUCAGCUAUCCAAUGGGAUGCUGCAGAGGAAUAAAGGUUGAAAGCCUUUCCAUUUAUCUUUUUUAAAAAGUUACGAAAACAAAAUACAUGUAAGAAUUUUUUUUAGAUGAUGAGAAUCAUCUCUAGUCCAUACUCCAUCUGCUGCUAGCAUCUGAUAUAUUUCUUGCAAGGGUUUUUUAAUGCGUUUUUCUAUCUAUUGAUGUAGAUGUGAUUAUGCAUUGUGUAUGGUUUUAUAUCCUGUUUUCUCCAUGUCACGUAAUGUCGUAUGUCAUCAUCAUUUUGUAUUGUUUAAACGGAAAGAUUUUAUGUACAAGACUGUGAUGACAUAUUAAAUUUUGCAUCUUAUAGACCUGUUUUUACACUUCUAGGUACCACUAAUCAUGUUGUUUGAAUAGAGUUUAAGGGGACACCCUGCCAUGUUUCCAAUUUUCAAUCUCGAAAGCUAGUGGGGUGAGUUUGUAACCCACACUCCACACUUUUCCUGACUGACCUCCACACAUACUUGCUCACUCUGUCAUUUACAUUAAUGUCUGAUUCCUCAGAUCUGCUUCUCCAUCUCUCCCUUGCUAGCAAUGAUGAUAUCGUAUUCAUUUUUUCAUUUAGGAGGCUCUUAAAAGAUUAUUUGUUAUAAAUUGUCAAACCUCUAACUUUUAGUCACCUUUAAAAAGCAGACACUUCUCUCCACACAAAGAACUAAAAUAAGAGAAAGGAAUCAAAUUAAAAGAUAUGUAUAGUUCCAGAAUCUGAAACUAUAAAAAUGUAACUCAAUAGGGAUGGAAAUUCUAAGAAAUGUAAUUAUAACCACAUGGCAUAAAUAACUAUAAUGUGCAAGAGAAGGGGAGAUAGCUGUUGGAAUUUAGAUACCUGGGUUUUUGUGCCAACUAUCAAAAAUGUGUGUGAUCACAGCCCAUGAGGUAUGUUCUAGGGCUUUGUUUUCCCAUGUGUAAAUUAAGAGUCAGAAUCUUCAAUUCUCUCCUAGCCCUGAUGUUCUCUGAGUCUUUGUACACGAGCCCUCAGGACCGUCACUCCAUUUCUCUUUUGCUUUUGUCUUGUCUAAGUGCAUGCUCUGUUUCGGAGAAGUUAAAACAUACACUGCUGAGAGAAAAUGGAAAUUGGAAUUAGAACAGAAGGUUACAGGAAAACUUAAAUGAGUAAAAUCUCCAGUCCCAGAUGGGAAAGUAUCUUUAUUUUCAGAAAAAGGGAAAAGAUGUGAUCUUGAGAAACCACGGAGAGAUAGAUAUGCUUGAGAUUCCCUAUAAAACAAAGUUUGUGUGGGCCCUUAGAAAAGAAAGGUGAUCACCGGGGAUCCGCAGGCUUCUCCACCAAUUAACUGGACCAAGGCAAGAUGGUCUGGCUUAGACACCUGACUCGAGAGAAGUUCGAGUGGUUUAAAGGCCCCCAAGAUUGUGGUUGACUGAAUAGGGGACCUGAUGAUGAGCUAAUAGCGGGAUCCAUCAGUUUAAAACAUUGAAGUAGGGGUGCCUGGGUGGCUCAGUGUGUUAAGCCUCUGCCUUCAGCUCAUGUCAUCAUCUCAAGGUCCUGGGAUCAAGCCCCACAUCAGGCUCUCUGGUUCAGCGGGGAGCUUGCUUCCCCCACUCUCUCUCUGCCUGCCUCUCUGCCUACUUGAGAUUUCUGCCUGUCAAAUAAAUAAAUAAAAUCUUAAAAAAAAAAAACAACAUUGAAGUAUUUUCAGGUAUAAAGUAUGAGGACAGACGAAUGGAACGAGAGGUAUUGCUGUCCCCUGAACUGGGCACUUUGAAGAAUAUAGUCUAUUCUAGGUGCCGCAUUUUGAAAGAUAUAUUUCAAACUUAAGAAUAUUGAUCAGUGCACAUAUGGGAAUUAGAAGUCAGGUCACAUGAGGGGGUGCCUGGGUGGCUCAGUCAGUUAAGCAUCUGCCUUCAGCUCAGGGCAUGAUCUCAGCAUCCUAGGAUCGAGCCCCAUGUUGGGCUCCCUGCUCAAGGGGGAAGUCUAGUUCUCCAUCUCCCUCUGCUCCUACCCUCCCACCCAUGCUCUCUCUGUCUCUCUUUCUCAAAUAAAUAAAAUCUUUUUAAAAAUAAAAUAAAAUAUUGUGUUCCUGGAUGGCUCAGUUGGUUAAGUGUUUGCCUUCAGCUCAGGUCAUGAUCACAGGGUCCUCUGAUUGAGUCCCCCACUAGGCUCCCGGCUCAGCAAGGAGUCUGCUUCUCCUUCUCCCUCUACCACUCCCUCUACUUGUGCUCUCUCUCUUGCACUCUCUCUCUCUCAAAUAAAUAAAUAAAAUCUUUAAAAAAAUGUAAAAAAAAAAAAGAAAUUAGGUCACAUGAAGAAUGCCGAGAUUAUUGACUAUUUACCCUGGGGGAAAAUAUUUUGCUAUUUUUUUUCUUUCUUAAUUGAAGUAUCAUUGACAUACAAUGUCAUGUUAGUUUCAGGUGGACAACAUAGGGAUUUGACAAGUCUUUAUGUUAUGCCGUGCUCACUGAAAGUGUAAGGACUUCACUAUUUUCAAAUCCUGGAAGAAAUGCUAGAGAAGCCAUAAGCUCAAAAUAUUUCUAGUGACAAGGCACAGACUACUCUACAGAACAACCAGUUCCAUCAUGGAAACUAAGGAAGAAAAUGAGAUGUUCAAGGGUUUUCAAAUUCUUUGCUCAAGACAGCAUGCUCUGCUCACCCAUUGGCAAGCAUGAUACAUAGGAUGCAUGUGCCGUUCAGUAGAUAGAGAGAUCCACCCCCUUGGAUAUAUUGGUGGAGAAAAUGUAAAUUGAUGGAAAUGCUGGAAAAAGCAAUUCAGAUAUACGAUUUAAGAACCUUAGGUAUGUUCAUCAUUUAGUCUUAUAAUUAUCCAUCCAAGAAUCUAUUUUAAGAACAUAAACAACAAGAAAGUUUGGUAUAGGGAGGCACUUACCAGAAUAUGUUUUCUAGAAGCACUCUAAAUGGCCCAUGAUGAGGAAAAAAUAGAAUAAAUUGUAAAGACAGAGCGGUGCAGUCACAUGAAGCCAGACUGUAUAGUUAGACCUAAUGGAUGAAAAUCCAUUAGGAUUCCCAUCCUGCCGUUUACUGGCUGUGUGGGUAGGUGGGUGACUGAGGCCAGGUAAUUCUUAUCAACUCAACUAAAGAUGGGAUGUUGUAUCAUUCCCAGAGCCAUUAUGACAAUUACAUAUAAUGUUGAAUGCCAAUUGUUUAGGCGGUGGCUGGCACAUAGUAAGCGCUUAGAAGCAGUCAUUAUGAUCAUCACUAUAUAGCAAUUAUGCCAUUUAUUAAAUGUUUUCUAUAUACUAGGCAUUUAACCAACAUUAUUUUUAAGUCUUCAUGUUAACUCUUAGACUCACAUGUUAUUAAUAUUGCACAGAUGAGGAAAUUGAGGAAUAGACUGGCGAAGUAGCUUCCCCAAAUUCAUACACAUGGUAGACUGGAGUGCAGGCAUUGCUACCCAGACUGUCUACUCAGGGACCCAUGUUCUCAUCAAUGAAAUGAUGACCUCCCAUACAAUGAAAUAACCUGUGUGUCUCUUUGUGUGUGUCACACAUACACACACUCACACAGACACAGACGUCCUUGAGUUAGGGAAACUGAAGGAUUCUAUAAAAAUCUGCUUUUUGUUCCUUUCUGCUCCUUUGCUCCUCUCUUCUCGCUAAGAACUGUGACCCCAACCACUCUGCGUGUGCCUCAGGAUGCAAAUAGUCUGUGUCCUCCUUGUAAGCGACAAAGAGUUAAUCAUUUCUUUAGAACAGAUAACAUUUAAGGAAGGACCAGGUGGGAACGACCAGACAAAGCUAUCAUUUUUGUAUUGCAGAUCACCAGCCUAGACACCUUGACGCCAGGGCCUGCUGGCUCCAAGGAGAAACACUUGGGCCUUUGUCUUUGUUCUAACCAGUUCCUGGAUGCCUGAGAGGACAGAACAUGUACAUUGGACCACAAUUCUCAGUAAAAAAACCCCCACGCCUGAACAAAUGAGACUCAUACUCCUUUCCUUUUUGAGUCUCCCCGAUGCUCCGAAUAUAUCUGCUUUCUCUGUAUCUCCAAUAAACUCUGCUCUCACUGCCUGCUGGCUCAUGUUUGAUUUCUGUCCUUCAAGAAGCCAAGGACCCUCUUGGCUGGUCCUGUGAGACCCUCUCUGGCUCUGUGGACAUGGCCCGUCAGCAUCAUAAUCAGACACACACAUUUGUAUGAUAUCUAAUUAUGUAUUGCCAGUUUUAAAAAACAGAAUACCAAAUGAUAUACAUGCUAUGAGAUCUACUAUUUAAAAUGUGAAUAAAAGGGACUGAAAAUCAA
RNA transcript from Mustela lutreola (European mink), 12740 nucleotides. It is a transcript of the gene named Rho GTPase activating protein 18, with no coding region annotated. The transcript has 17 exons. The record is from RefSeq and is a predicted model, not a curated record. Lineage: Eukaryota; Metazoa; Chordata; Mammalia; Carnivora; Mustelidae.